AGGCCCCACCCUCGAUUCGCAUGGGGAGACAUUCCGGGGCAGCCUCCCGCUGACGUGUCUCAGCACAUAAUCACAAAGAGCCAAGCACGCAUGAGUCAGAAGCAGUUAUAUCCCUAAGUCAUAAAGCAGCAGCUGGGCCCAAGAUUCCUGGCAUCCUUCCAAUCUCACCUCCCCCGCCCUAUUUACCCAGGAGCAAAAGAAGCGGAGGGAAGCAACACAGCGCAGCGUGACUACGUGCUUGAUCUGUCUCCUCCUAACGGGCAUGCAGGCAACCCAGGUGCCUUAGGUAAGUGACCCCAUUCCCUGCCCUGCCUUGGAGGGCCGGAUGAGUCAAAGAGUAAUCUUAUCCCUCUGCUAGUGAGUACAAAUGAAGUCUGUGGGCCAACAAGGAGCGAGGAGCAGUUUCCUGGAAGCCCUGGGCUGGUGUUUGACUUGCUUUGAGAUAGAAUAAAUGGGAGAAAGAGACUUUAUGGGACAUCUGGGCCUAGGGCUCCUGGAUGCUGUGCUGAAAACACCACGUACAGAAGCCAGUCUAACCUUCUGGAUGAUGAGAGCCCAGAUGCAGUACAGAGGUGCCCCAGCCAACAAUCAGCUGCUAUCUGAAUCCCAUCUGGAUCCCAUCUGAAUCCCAUGUCACCAUGAAUGAGGCCACCUUAGCCCAGCCAGCACAGCUGAAAGCCAGAAGCAGCCGCAUGCACAAGCCCAGGGGAAGCCCACAGAGGAACCACCAGCCAACACACAGAAUUGCAAGCAGUUAAGCAACUAAGAUUAAGACAACAAUUUUAAAAUGAACCAGGUCCGGCCGGGUGCGGUGGCUCUCAGGCCUGUAAUCCCAGCACUUUGGGAGGCCGAAGCGAGCGGGUCACCGGAGGUUGGGAGUUCGAGACCAGCCUGACCAACAUGGAGAAACCCCGUCUCUACUAAAAAUACAAAGUUAGCCAGGCGUGGUGGCGCAUGCCUGUAAUCCCAGCUACUCGGGAGGCUGAAGUAAGGUUAUAACAUGGCCUGGCGUGCAGUACGUGCUCAAUAAAUGCUCACCGUUAUUGUUGAUCAGGCA
This 1057-nucleotide long non-coding RNA is filed under the name Homo sapiens (human). RNAcentral describes it as "HSALNT0401604". The record is from RNAcentral. Lineage: Eukaryota; Metazoa; Chordata; Mammalia; Primates; Hominidae.